GGUACCAAGAAUAUUAGUAGUUUAAGAAAUAUUUUUGCAAACUUGGAUGAUUUUUACAGGUCAUUAUCUUUUAAGGGUUUGUUCUUUUGUAGAUAAAUAUCAUGAAAAAAUUGAUUAAGUUUUUUUUUAACUAAUUUAUUCAUAUUUUCAUAUUUUUCAAAAUAGAUAAAUUACUUUCUCAUAGAUAGUAUUUACUCAUGAAGUGGAAAAAAAAUCUUUGCCACCCA
Molecule: long non-coding RNA, 227 nt
Filed under: Elaeis guineensis (African oil palm)
Lineage: Eukaryota; Viridiplantae; Streptophyta; Magnoliopsida; Arecales; Arecaceae
Description: long non-coding RNA (EGUI_LNC015961)
Source: RNAcentral